ACUAAGCGUACACGGUGGAUGCCCUGGCAGUCAGAGGCGAUGAAGGACGUGCUAAUCUGCGAUAAGCGUCGGUAAGGUGAUAUGAACCGUUAUAACCGGCGAUUUCCGAAUGGGGAAACCCAGUGUGAUUCGUCACACUAUCAUUAACUGAAUCCAUAGGUUAAUGAGGCGAACCGGGGGAACUGAAACAUCUAAGUACCCCGAGGAAAAGAAAUCAACCGAGAUUCCCCCAGUAGCGGCGAGCGAACGGGGAGCAGCCCAGAGCCUGAAUCAGUGUGUGUGUUAGUGGAAGCGUCUGGAAAGGCGCGCGAUACAGGGUGACAGCCCCGUACACAAAAAUGCACAUGCUGUGAGCUCGAUGAGUAGGGCGGGACACGUGGUAUCCUGUCUGAAUAUGGGGGGACCAUCCUCCAAGGCUAAAUACUCCUGACUGACCGAUAGUGAACCAGUACCGUGAGGGAAAGGCGAAAAGAACCCCGGCGAGGGGAGUGAAAAAGAACCUGAAACCGUGUACGUACAAGCAGUGGGAGCACAGAGCAAUCUGUGUGACUGCGUACCUUUUGUAUAAUGGGUCAGCGACUUAUAUUCUGUAGCAAGGUUAACCGAAUAGGGGAGCCGAAGGGAAACCGAGUCUUAACUGGGCGUUAAGUUGCAGGGUAUAGACCCGAAACCCGGUGAUCUAGCCAUGGGCAGGUUGAAGGUUGGGUAACACUAACUGGAGGACCGAACCGACUAAUGUUGAAAAAUUAGCGGAUGACUUGUGGCUGGGGGUGAAAGGCCAAUCAAACCGGGAGAUAGCUGGUUCUCCCCGAAAGCUAUUUAGGUAGCGCCUCGUGAAUUCAUCUCCGGGGGUAGAGCACUGUUUCGGCAAGGGGGUCAUCCCGACUUACCAACCCGAUGCAAACUGCGAAUACCGGAGAAUGUUAUCACGGGAGACACACGGCGGGUGCUAACGUCCGUCGUGAAGAGGGAAACAACCCAGACCGCCAGCUAAGGUCCCAAAGUCAUGGUUAAGUGGGAAACGAUGUGGGAAGGCCCAGACAGCCAGGAUGUUGGCUUAGAAGCAGCCAUCAUUUAAAGAAAGCGUAAUAGCUCACUGGUCGAGUCGGCCUGCGCGGAAGAUGUAACGGGGCUAAACCAUGCACCGAAGCUGCGGCAGCGACGCUUAUGCGUUGUUGGGUAGGGGAGCGUUCUGUAAGCCUGCGAAGGUGUGCUGUGAGGCAUGCUGGAGGUAUCAGAAGUGCGAAUGCUGACAUAAGUAACGAUAAAGCGGGUGAAAAGCCCGCUCGCCGGAAGACCAAGGGUUCCUGUCCAACGUUAAUCGGGGCAGGGUGAGUCGACCCCUAAGGCGAGGCCGAAAGGCGUAGUCGAUGGGAAACAGGUUAAUAUUCCUGUACUUGGUGUUACUGCGAAGGGGGGACGGAGAAGGCUAUGUUGGCCGGGCGACGGUUGUCCCGGUUUAAGCGUGUAGGCUGGUUUUCCAGGCAAAUCCGGAAAAUCAAGGCUGAGGCGUGAUGACGAGGCACUACGGUGCUGAAGCAACAAAUGCCCUGCUUCCAGGAAAAGCCUCUAAGCAUCAGGUAACAUCAAAUCGUACCCCAAACCGACACAGGUGGUCAGGUAGAGAAUACCAAGGCGCUUGAGAGAACUCGGGUGAAGGAACUAGGCAAAAUGGUGCCGUAACUUCGGGAGAAGGCACGCUGAUAUGUAGGUGAAGUCCCUCGCGGAUGGAGCUGAAAUCAGUCGAAGAUACCAGCUGGCUGCAACUGUUUAUUAAAAACACAGCACUGUGCAAACACGAAAGUGGACGUAUACGGUGUGACGCCUGCCCGGUGCCGGAAGGUUAAUUGAUGGGGUUAGCGCAAGCGAAGCUCUUGAUCGAAGCCCCGGUAAACGGCGGCCGUAACUAUAACGGUCCUAAGGUAGCGAAAUUCCUUGUCGGGUAAGUUCCGACCUGCACGAAUGGCGUAAUGAUGGCCAGGCUGUCUCCACCCGAGACUCAGUGAAAUUGAACUCGCUGUGAAGAUGCAGUGUACCCGCGGCAAGACGGAAAGACCCCGUGAACCUUUACUAUAGCUUGACACUGAACAUUGAGCCUUGAUGUGUAGGAUAGGUGGGAGGCUUUGAAGUGUGGACGCCAGUCUGCAUGGAGCCGACCUUGAAAUACCACCCUUUAAUGUUUGAUGUUCUAACGUGGACCCGUAAUCCGGGUUGCGGACAGUGUCUGGUGGGUAGUUUGACUGGGGCGGUCUCCUCCUAAAGAGUAACGGAGGAGCACGAAGGUUGGCUAAUCCUGGUCGGACAUCAGGAGGUUAGUGCAAUGGCAUAAGCCAGCUUGACUGCGAGCGUGACGGCGCGAGCAGGUGCGAAAGCAGGUCAUAGUGAUCCGGUGGUUCUGAAUGGAAGGGCCAUCGCUCAACGGAUAAAAGGUACUCCGGGGAUAACAGGCUGAUACCGCCCAAGAGUUCAUAUCGACGGCGGUGUUUGGCACCUCGAUGUCGGCUCAUCACAUCCUGGGGCUGAAGUAGGUCCCAAGGGUAUGGCUGUUCGCCAUUUAAAGUGGUACGCGAGCUGGGUUUAGAACGUCGUGAGACAGUUCGGUCCCUAUCUGCCGUGGGCGCUGGAGAAUUGAGGGGGGCUGCUCCUAGUACGAGAGGACCGGAGUGGACGCAUCACUGGUGUUCGGGUUGUCAUGCCAAUGGCACUGCCCGGUAGCUAAAUGCGGAAGAGAUAAGUGCUGAAAGCAUCUAAGCACGAAACUUGCCCCGAGAUGAGUUCUCCCUGACUCCUUGAGAGUCCUGAAGGAACGUUGAAGACGACGACGUUGAUAGGCCGGGUGUGUAAGCGCAGCGAUGCGUUGAGCUAACCGGUACUAAUGAACCGUGAGGCUUAACC
Molecule: ribosomal RNA, 2895 nt
Filed under: Escherichia coli
Lineage: Bacteria; Pseudomonadati; Pseudomonadota; Gammaproteobacteria; Enterobacterales; Enterobacteriaceae
Description: bacterial LSU rRNA
Rfam family: Bacterial large subunit ribosomal RNA
Source: RNAcentral